Molecule: ribosomal RNA, 465 nt
Filed under: Triticum aestivum (bread wheat)
Lineage: Eukaryota; Viridiplantae; Streptophyta; Magnoliopsida; Poales; Poaceae
Description: partial small subunit ribosomal RNA
Source: RNAcentral
AUGCAGUUGCUUCAGUCUGGUAAUACGACGAUUAAUAUUAAUGGUGAGGUGAGACCAUUCUUUACGUCCUCUGCGUGAGUGAAGCAAGGCGAACCGAUCUCACUACUCCUCUUCAACCUCGUCGUUGAUGCUUUAGUUGGCAUCCUGGAUAAAGCUAGGGUGGCAGGUCACCUCUCGGGGGUAGUUUGUCACCUAAUCCCUGGUGGAGGGAUCAGUCACCUACAAUAUGCUAACGACACCAUGAUUAUGGUGGAGGGGUCGGUCCUGGACAUCGUGAAUCUUAAGUUCCUACUCCUCUAUUUUGAGGCUAUGUCAAGACUAAAGAAUAACUUUGAUAAGAGUGAGGUCAUCGUCAUGGGAUAUCCAGCGGUAGAACAACAACAGAUCGCGGACAACUUAAACAGUAGACUGGCCUCAUUCCCCCAUUACAUACUUGGGAGUGCUGAUGGCCUAGACUACAAAUAA